AUGGAAGGCCUUCUACACUGGGAUUUCUCGCCCGGCCUUGCGGUUGCGGCUCAGGUGCAUCGUCGUUUUGAAUCUUCUGUUCACUUCUCACCUUCUGGAUCGACCAAGGAGUUCUUCUUGGUUGUCUUCUUCUCGUCGGCUUCUUUCUCUCUUUCUGAAGAAUCGGUGGCCAUUGCACUUCAAUGUUGCAUUGGU
RNAcentral lists this ribosomal RNA (195 nucleotides) under Triticum aestivum (bread wheat). RNAcentral describes it as "partial small subunit ribosomal RNA". Lineage: Eukaryota; Viridiplantae; Streptophyta; Magnoliopsida; Poales; Poaceae. The record is from RNAcentral.